Bombus huntii is the source of this 2781-nucleotide long non-coding RNA. RefSeq lists it as uncharacterized. The record is from RefSeq and is a predicted model, not a curated record. Lineage: Eukaryota; Metazoa; Arthropoda; Insecta; Hymenoptera; Apidae. The transcript has 2 exons.
AUAAACUGGCAGCUGAAAUCGCACGAUGAUCGCAUCAGUGAAAAGUUAGAAAUGCAACUUUUGCUUACUCUACGCUAUUUUGACAUCCUAACCUUCCCCUGUUUCUGACGAACAGUGAUUAUAAGUGAUUAUGCCGUGAUCGUAUGCGUUCAAAGUGACUACAAACACCUAAAAAAUCAUCAUAAAUUCGUAGAAAUCGUCUAAGAGUAAUUUUAGCGCGACUAUAAGCAAUUACAAGGUGACUACAAUUAUUCAAUGCGACUAUCUACAAUCUACGCGUGAAAUUAGGUAUUUACGAGUGAGUCUGAAGCGAUCGAGCGUCAUCGCAACGUGACUAUAAUGGACUAUAACGUAAUUGCUUGCGUUCAACAAAUUGCUAGUUAACACACGUGUGUAUAAAAUGACCGUAUAUAAUGCAAUUAGGGAGGUUAUAACGUGACUAUAAUGGACUAUAACGUAAUUGCUUGCGUUCAACAAAUUGCUAGUUAACACACGUGCGUAUAAAAUGACUGUAUAUAAUGCAAUUAGGGUGGUUAUAACGUGACUAUAAUAGACUAUAACGUAAUUGCUUGCCUUCAACAAAUUGCUAGUUAACACACGUGUGUAUAAAAUGACUGUAUAUAAUGCAAUUAGGGAGGUUAUAACGUGACUAUAAUGGACUAUAACGUAAUUGCUUGCGUUCAACAAAUUACUAGUUAACACACGUGCGUAUAAAAUGACUGUAUAUAAUGCAAUUAGGGAGGUUAUAACGUGACUAUAAUGGACUAUAACGUAAUUGCUUGCGUUCAACAAAUUGCUAAUUAACACACGUGUGUAUAAAAUGACUGUAUAUAAUGCAAUUAUAACGUAGCCAUAAAUGACUAUAAUAUUAUAUGUGCGAUUAUCUCCGACUACUAAUUGAUGGAAGAAUUUUUAUACCCCACGUGUAGAAUUUUUCGCGGAGAAAAUUUCUAUCUAGGGGACAUGGAAUUUUGUUUUGAAGAGAGGAAAUUCAUCGAAAUUUUCGUAGUCACGCGUUCACGCACGGUCAUAUUGACGAACACGCUGAUAUUAAAUUCCGAAGCUGAUAUCGGCUACAGUAUCUUUGCGCAAGAACGUCAAAUUGUUCUGUCACGUGCAGGAAAUUGAAUUCCAGCGAUGGCAACGAGAGAGGCGCGUCAAAGGUAACAAGAUGAAAGCGUUAAAAACGAAAAAGGGAAAAAACGAAGAAUAUAAAAGUAAACGCGAGAGAACUCGAGAUUAAACGUGUAGGUGAGCGAUCAUUUUGCCAUAAAAUCGUUCUGCGCAAUCUCAUUUUCUGUCAACAGGUUGGUGCCGCGACUUUCUAACCUAUAUCUGCUAUACGUACGAUCUUUUUCACGGUAUUUGACGCGUUCGCGAAAAUUAGAAACCGUUCACUGUAGGUACACAUAUGUUUUUUUUAUAAUACAUUACUGUAACAGUAAAUUAUUUUAAUGGAAGAUUUUUUUUCCGGAAAAAUUUUCUUCGUUAAUAACCGGUGACGUAUAUGUAUGUAUACGUCGUUUCAUAUAACUGCGAUAUAUUUGUAACGCGUAUGUCGCGCCAUUUUUUAUAAAUACUCAUAGGUGCCACAUUUUGUUAAGUUUGUAAGAUAAAUAAACUAUACAUACACGUUCUAGAGACGAAAGUACUUGCUCCUAGAUGUUAACAGUUCGUAAUAUCGUUGGUCGACGUUUAAAGGUGUAAUACGAAUCGUUUAAUCGAAACGGGUAAUUUUACGGUCGAUGAAUAUACGACCAAUCGAGCGAGGAAGAUUUAACGAGGCCAACCGUGAUCUGAGGAUUGAUUGCACUUCCGAUAAACUAUCUCUAACGAGUAAUAACACCGCUCUAGGGCAAUUCGAUAUCCUGUACCAAGGAUUAAUUAACCUUAUACUAUUAAAGUAAUUAUUAUAAAAAAUAAACGGCAUUUUUUUGGCUGCUGUAAAAAUUAUAACGUUGUUUUCGAUGUUAGUAAGUAAACCGAGGAUUGUAAUGCAUUGGAAAUAUUUCAAAAUAAUUGCAUUUUUCGAAGUGCUUUAAUGCAAGGUUACGCUUCAUUGCAAAUUUACUCGCAAGAGAUUUGCAUUUGCACGAGCAACCUCAGCCCAGUGAUAAUUAACGUGCACGCGAAUAAAAACCUACAGUCGGGAAAUGUUUUCCUAAUUACGUUCAACAAACACGCAAGCUCAGACUCUUUAAACACUCGUGGUUGGCGAAGAGGCUGCUGUUUUUUAAGCAAUUUUAAAUUCAGGUCGAGCAACUUUUUUCUCCCUUUUUCUUCUUUUUUUUUUUUUUUUUGCUCUCUGUUCACAGGGACCAACCACUACGAACCACUUCGUUACCAACCCGCGGCGCAGAGACACGGUAAUUGUGAAAUAUUAAAAAAGAAUUGGAUUAUAUCUCGUACGAAAGCUAUUUUCUGCUUCCCGAAAUUUUAAUCAUCGUGAGAGAUCGCUUGUCUUCUAUUUUUUUAAUCUAAUUCCGAAUUGUUUGCGAGAGGAAACUUUGUUAAUUAAAACGGCUCCCCAUUUUAUUAUACGGGAUAAUUAAUAAUCCUCAUAAUUCUUCAAUUAAUUUCUAAUAAAUGAGAAGGCGAAUCGAUUUCUCAGAUUUGUCAUAGUCUUCGCUAAAUAAAAAAGCCGUGAUAAAUUGGAAAAAAGAAUCUAUUCAAAUCAUCGUAUUACUCGUAAAAAAAUACUACAACCGUUCCUCUAUUUUUUUCGAAAGCCUACGUCUUAUACAAAAAAAAAAAAAAAAAAUAAAAAGAAAAAGAAAACAA